Molecule: long non-coding RNA, 4354 nt
Filed under: Homo sapiens (human)
Lineage: Eukaryota; Metazoa; Chordata; Mammalia; Primates; Hominidae
Description: HSALNT0156658
Source: RNAcentral
CUUACAUUCAUUUUAUUUGAGUUCCUUCUUCAGGAAAGAACCCCCAGACCUCUCAAAAAGUAUCAAAGAACUGAAACUCACCAGGUAACCACCUCCAGACAAUGAGACCAGACCCCUUAUUCAUUCUGAUUGCUUCUUUCCCUUUCUGAGUUCCUGUUGUCCUAUACACGGUUACGUUUCUUCCUUGCUAGAUAAACCCCUAGUUUUAGUCAGUCAGGGAGAUGGAUUUGAGACAGAGCUCCCCUCUCCUCGGCUGCAACACCCAGUUACAGCUUUCUUCCUCAGCAAUACUUGUCAUCUCAGUGAUUGGCUUUCUGUGCAGAGAGCCGCAGGAUCUAGAUGUUUCCGUAACAGAUAUAUGGGGCACGGAGGAUUCUUAGGGCAGUGUUUCCGUAACAGAUAUAUGGGGCACGGAGGAUUCUUAGGGCAGUGAAACAAUUCUGUAUGAUGCAAAAACGGUGGGGACAAGUCAUUAUACAUUUGUCCAAACCCACAGAAUGUACGACACCAGGAGUGAAUUCCAUUCAAUUCCACUUAAUUUUUCUGGAAACCCAAAACUGCUUUUUUUUUUUUUUUUUUUUUUUUUUUUUUUGGAGACAGAGUCUCACUCUGUCACCCAGGCUGGAGUACAGUGGCACGAUCUUGGCUCACUGCUGCAACCUCUGACUUCCAGGUUCAGGUGAUUCUCCUGCUUCCACCACCAGAGUCCUGCCUCCACCACCAGAGUAGCUGGGAUUACAGGUAUGCGUCUCCACGCCCGGCUAAUUUUUCUGUUUUAGUAGAGAUGAGAUUUCACCAUGUUGGCCAGGCUGGUCUCGAACUCCUGGCCUCAAGUAUUUUGCCCGUCUCAGCCUUCCAAAGUGCUGGGAUUACAGGCAUGAGCCACCACGCCCCGCCAUCAAAAUUGCUUUUUAAAAGUGUGUUAAAUUCAAAAAAAGAAGCUAGAGGAAAGAGGGCAGAGGGUGGCAUUCAGGCAGCAGAAGGGCUGUCCUCAUGGUCCUUGUGGUGAGGGGAUGACCUCCUGCUGAAGGCCAGUCCACUGAGCUGGCACCCACAGAGGGGGACCUGGACUGUUUGCAGCUGAACAGCCUGUAGCCAGGGCUAUCAGAAGGCAGGGAGACCUGGAGUGCAUUGACAGUCACCACACAGGUUUCCAGGAACCUUCCCUCCCUUCCCUGAGUCAGCAUUCAUGCAUACAUUCCUUCCCUUAUUCAUUCAAAAUGUUUCUGGCCAGCCUACCAGGCACCCAGCACAUCAGACCUCUGAUCAUUUGCUCAUAGACUCAUUCAUUCAUUCACUUAAUCACUGUCUCUGUCUAGGCAGAAAGCAAACAUCUAGUCCUGCCAGCCCUAGACAGAAUGAUUUCAAACCCUAAUUAGUACUGUGGGGCUUAAUGAGGUUUCCUGGGAUUCUCAUUAUCAGGGAAAUCAUUUCACAAAAGCUGUCCAUGAUACAGUGGGCAGGGGCACCUCAUGCCAGUAAGGAGCCUCUUCCUGAGAUGAGCAACCGAGGAAACACCAAUUAAGCAAGGAAGCUGUGGAAGGGGAUGCCCCGGGCUUCCCAGAGUGCAGAGCAUGGAUGCUUAGCUGAGGGGUGGGGCUGGAACCUGGCUGCCAAAGCAGUUCUGCCAGCAGGAGCAGGGAUGGCCAGGCAGCAGCACAGGUCACUGCCCCGCAUGGUCAACAUGCAUUGCGGAUUUUAGCUUGCGUUUACGGAUGGCUUCUAGCUACAAAAGACACAGUGGCGCUCAGUUGCUCACCUGUGUAUUUUAAGUAACUAAUUCCUAUUCACACACUCAUUCAUUUAGCCAUUCAUGCAGGUUUCAGAUGUUUAAUGAGCAUCUACUAUGUGCCAAGCAGCUUCAUAAUAAACACACACUUAUUCAUAAAUCCAUGCAUCUGUAGACUUCAGAUGUUCAAAUGUUCAUAGAUGGCUUGGGGCUUGCAGGGACAGAUCUUCCAGUGUCACCAGGAGCCUCUGGGAUAGGCGGGAAACGCUUCCUACAGGGGGUGGGGCGGGGGGCGCAUUUGAGCUCCAUGUGGGGAAGGCCCAGGGCAACUCUAAGCUGAGUGCAGAGUCCCAGGUCCCGAAAAUAGUGAGGCUUCCAGGUCACGAGGUUACACCAGCAUCCAUGACGUCAGCAGGCCAGCGGCGGGCCCUUAGCCAUGGAGGUUCAGAUCGUGUGGGUUGUGGGUCCCACGGUCCCAGAGUCAGCCGGGCGCCCAUUGGCUUGGCCUCAGGAUGCCCAGGGACAUGCCUGGUGCAGCUGGGGCAGCAGGAGCUCACUCUACCAUGAAAUAUUCAUGGCUGCUGGCAAAGCCCGGCCCUAAAAUAUAGUUUGCAGAAGAAAAAGAGCCAUCAGGCAUUUAAUCAUUGUGUUAAUGAGGCUCUAUUUGGAAGCAAACUCCAUCUGACUGCGUCCUAGACAGCAAGAGUCAGGGCCCGGCCAACCUGUGUUGCCGGCCGCAGGGGCAGCCUCAUCCCUGAGACACCAGUGGGAGACACGCCCGGGCAAGGCACAGGCUUGGCUCGAGGCCAUGGCCAGCGGCCCUCCACUUCAGGGGAGCCCAUGAGAUUAUAACGGCAUCCUGAGGUUUGCCAAAAAGCAUCCUUUUAAGCAGAAAGCAAGCAACGGCCCUGCAUGGAGGCGCCACAGAUCCAGUCUGGCUGAGCAGGGGCUAGACCAACUCGUUUUCCCUAAGCAGCUUCCUCGGGGGAACCACUACCCCUCCUGCCUCCAGCUCCCCCUGCUGCCCAGGCCGCCGCCACAGACACUGCAAAUUACCAUCCAGACAAGAUUGCCGGGCCCUUUACAAAGCCUGAAGCAGCUCCUGCAGCCGCCGUCAGCGUCAGCAGCCGCCCUUCUUCGCCAGGUGUGCUGAUUGCAAGUCUCUCUGUGCGGCAGGAGGGGACGUCUCCAAAGGGCAGGCGUCCAGUGGCAGCACCGCAGGCCUGUGGGUGUUCCACCUGCAGAGGCCCCAGAGCAGCCCACGGAGGGCCACGGUGGUAUUAUUCCCAUUUCACAGGGAAGAAGCAAGGUCAGAGCUCUUCCCAGAUGGCUCACGCCAGGCCCAUGCUGCCCGCCCUUACCCGCUCCUCCCGUCCGGCGCUUGAGAGACGUGGUGUCUGGAAAGUCUGUCCCAUCCCAGCUUCCACAACACCCACUGAGACCCACGCCAACGCGCCCCGCCCACGAGAACCCAGGUCACUCCCGCUUGGUGACUGCGGAAGAACUUUCCGGGUGUCACGUUGGUCCAGUCCCAGCCCACCCCCAUGCACGGGACGCAGGAGCUCUGGGUGCCCACCACUCCAUGAAGGGUGAUUGUGGUGAUGUAUUUGACCUUCUGGCAGCAAUUUAAUCAAAUCUGGAAAUCUGGGCCGGCACCUGGUUCGGGACUCAUCCCCUGUUGCUAGGAAACCCAACUCCUGCGGAUCCCACCCUGCUCCAUCCGGAGACAGUGGGAGAGACCCUCCUGCAGCUGAGGCCAGGGCUGGGGAAUGGCUGGAGAUGGAUGGGGACAGCAGUGGCCUUUGCACUGGCUGACUUCACAGCAGAACUCCCACGAGUGCCGAGAAACAGCGUGUAGGGGCGCUGCUCUCCCUACAAGCCCUUCCAGGCGCUGCAGGUCACUUAGAAGCUUGUGGCGCAUCCCUCGGUACCUCUCUCUGCCUGCGCACCAUAAACACCCAGACUACAGGGCCAUACCUGUCUCUUCUUGGUCUCCCCAGCAUCCUGCAGAUUAGUGGCCCUUCAGACACUUUGCACCCCAGUAGGGGGUGGGGAGGCUGGUGGAAAGUGAGCCCUGUGGCUCCUGGAGAAGCGGCGAGCAGCAGGCAGUGUUACACAAGGGUCCUCCCAACCCAGCUGACCUCACCAGGUCAUUCAUGCAAGAAUGCGGGGCCAAUGGGUUUCUGCCAGGCGUGCCAGGGCUGAGGGCACCCCUGGGUCCUCACAGCCCCCACUGUCCAGGGACAGCAGAGUCCUCCUUCCCUUUGCCAUUUCCAUGUUUCUCAUUUCAAUAAUUCUUGCAGCCCAUGUUGUGUAAAUAAAAUUAUUCUUCCCAAAAAAAUCGUUAGCAGAGCCCGACAUUAAUUCCCCUGCAAUCUGUGUAAUUAACUGCAUGUAAUAUAGGGCAUUAAAGGACCGGUUUGCUAAUCACCACUCCUCCGCUCCACGCACCUAAUUAAAUCUCCUUCCUGUUUAUCCACUUACAGGAUCCUCUGCAAAGAUACCAGGCACCAGGAACACUGUUGUAAUAAAUCUUUGCGUAAUUUUAGAGGGUGCAGUCCCACUCUGUUUCAUUCCCACUGCUGAGCCCCUCCUCCCUGCAGCCACGUCUCCCCAUGACUCGGC